GACGAACGCUGGCGGCGUGCUUAACACAUGCAAGUCGAACGGAAAGGCCCUGCUUUUGUGGGGUGCUCGAGUGGCGAACGGGUGAGUAACACGUGAGUAACCUGCCCUUGACUUUGGGAUAACUUCAGGAAACUGGGGCUAAUACCGGAUAGGAGCUCCUGCUGCAUGGUGGGGGUUGGAAAGUUUCGGCGGUUGGGGAUGGACUCGCGGCUUAUCAGCUUGUUGGUGGGGUAGUGGCUUACCAAGGCUUUGACGGGUAGCCGGCCUGAGAGGGUGACCGGCCACAUUGGGACUGAGAUACGGCCCAGACUCCUACGGGAGGCAGCAGUGGGGAAUAUUGCACAAUGGGCGGAAGCCUGAUGCAGCAACGCCGCGUGCGGGAUGACGACCUUCGGGUUGUAAACCGCUUUCGCCUGUGACGAAGCGUGAGUGACGGUAAUGGGUAAAGAAGCACCGGCUAGCUACGUG
RNAcentral lists this ribosomal RNA (468 nucleotides) under uncultured bacterium. RNAcentral describes it as "partial 16S ribosomal RNA". It matches the Rfam family "Bacterial small subunit ribosomal RNA", at positions 28 to 507 of the family's 1533-position model. The record is from RNAcentral.